UACCGAGGGUGCGAGCGUUAAUCGGAAUUACUGGGCGUAAAGCGUGCGUAGACGGCUAUCUAAGUCGGGUGUGAAAGCCCCGGGCUCAACCUGGGAAUUGCAUUCGAGACUGAAUAGCUAGGGUACGGUAGAGGGAAGCGGAAUUUCCGGUGUAGCGGUGAAAUGCGUAGAUAUCGGGAGGAACACCAGUGGCGAAGGCGACUACCUGGCCUGUUCUUGACGCUGAGGCGCGAAAGCUAGGGGAGCAAACGGG
RNAcentral lists this ribosomal RNA (253 nucleotides) under uncultured bacterium. RNAcentral's name for it is "partial 16S ribosomal RNA". It matches the Rfam family "Bacterial small subunit ribosomal RNA", at positions 524 to 776 of the family's 1533-position model. The record is from RNAcentral.